Molecule: small nuclear RNA, 80 nt
Organism: Bos grunniens (domestic yak)
Lineage: Eukaryota; Metazoa; Chordata; Mammalia; Artiodactyla; Bovidae
Source: Ensembl
GUUAGGAAAGAUUUCAAGGAAGAUUAGCAUGGCCCCUGCGCAAGAAAGACACAGAAAUUGGUGAAGCAUUCCAUGUUUUU